ACCAACUCCAUGUUCAUCUCUGACACGGACGCACACGGAACGGUGACGGUUGACUUUAGCCGAUUAUUCUCAGCUUUCAUCGCAGUGCUGGAAAAAGCUGAUCCCUGUGAGAGACAGACAGCUUCAGCUGAACAUGACUCAUGGCUCCAUGCUGUGUGCACGCAUGCAGUGUUGUGUAAUGGCAAGUAUGCAUGUACGUCUAUUGUGUGCAGCGAGGCCAUGAUACUGGUGAGUUUGCAUGCAUGUGCCUGCCUGCAUCAGAGGACCCCCAGCGCGGCUGAAUGCUCCCCAGCUCUUCCGACCGACGUCACCCUAUCAUUUUCCCAGGUCUCUGGAAAAGUCUUUGUGUGUCCCCUCCCGUUAUUACCCAGUGUGCCGUUCCCUCCACACUCCUCAUAUGUCACGUCUUUGUUCUUCUGUGACAGGGUUGGUCAUAAACGAACAGUGCAAGAACUGAGUCACCAAAAAUCGGUUGUGCAUGCCGAGCGCUUCGGGGAAAGUGCUGUGCUCCAACUUGUCGGAUGAUCCUACUUGAUGUGAGUCUUUGGUGUAAUUUCCAGACAUUCACAGGCACUUUUGUGUAUUUUAUACAACAACAGGAAACCAUCGUGGUUAACGCAGUGUUUUUAAGCAGUGAGAAAUCUGGAGCAAUCUGAACAAAAAAAACAAAUCAGUUUGAACUCUAAGUAGCAUGUUAACGUGCUUUUAAAGAAACCUCUCUCACUGCAAUCACAUCACUUUUUGGGGUGGGGUCGACUCGUCAGAACUGACAUUUCUGGAUUUUUAUUAAUAUCAUCAAGUCAAGGCCUGUAAAACAAGAUUUCAGCAUCUCUGCAGCUUUUUUGAUGCUUCUUGUGCUUCGUUUGUCCGCAGAGGUGUCAUCUUCUGUUUUAAGGUACCUGAGCAGCACCGUCACAUGCUGUGGCCACUGUGCUCCACCACUCCCACCCUCACACACAGACACAUAGAUUUGUUUGGGCUCAGCACAGCAGACAUGCAAGUCCAAACCCCAACUGCGGUUGCUGAGUUGUGCCGACUCUUGAACGCACAUCCAACACAAGCUCAGUUAGGUCAUAAAUAAUGGUCUAGGGAUUCCUACUUCAUGACAGCUUGAGUCCAGCAGCAUGCUUGAGGUGAGAGAAGUAAGGACUCUGUGAGUCUGCUCAAGUAUUCCAGCAACCCUCUAGGGCUUCCUGGGCUACAGCUGCUCCACGAUGCUACCUUCUGGGUUUUAACCAGAGAUUCUUCGAUGGCGAACAAUUGGAGCCAAAGCAAAGUUCUGCAAGAGAGAAUGUUGGACACUCAGCACUGAGACUAAAGACACACUUCUAGUUGCUUUCAUUAAAAAACAAGGUUUCAUGUUUUUGAGCAACAGGAAGAUUUAAAAGACCAGGGGGGUAUUCCAGAAAGCAGGUUAUGCUAGCUCCCACGGUACGUUUGAGGCUAAGGAAGUUGAUAA
Molecule: non-coding RNA, 1459 nt
Organism: Oryzias latipes (Japanese medaka)
Lineage: Eukaryota; Metazoa; Chordata; Actinopteri; Beloniformes; Adrianichthyidae
Source: RefSeq, a predicted model, not a curated record